RNAcentral lists this ribosomal RNA (556 nucleotides) under uncultured bacterium. RNAcentral's name for it is "bacterial SSU rRNA". It matches the Rfam family "Bacterial small subunit ribosomal RNA", at positions 60 to 606 of the family's 1533-position model. The record is from RNAcentral.
AGUCGACGGCAGCAUGAUCUAGCUUGCUAGAUUGAUGGCGAGUGGCGAACGGGUGAGUAAUACAUCGGAACGUGCCCUGUAGUGGGGGAUAACUAGUCGAAAGAUUAGCUAAUACCGCAUACGACCUGAGGGUGAAAGUGGGGGACCGCAAGGCCUCAUGCUAUAGGAGCGGCCGAUGUCUGAUUAGCUAGUUGGUGAGGUAAAGGCUCACCAAGGCGACGAUCAGUAGCUGGUCUGAGAGGACGAUCAGCCACACUGGGACUGAGACACGGCCCAGACUCCUACGGGAGGCAGCAGUGGGGAAUUUUGGACAAUGGGGGCAACCCUGAUCCAGCAAUGCCGCGUGUGUGAAGAAGGCCUUCGGGUUGUAAAGCACUUUUGUCCGGAAAGAAAUCGCACUUACUAAUAUUAGGUGUGGAUGACGGUACCGGAAGAAUAAGGACCGGCUAACUACGUGCCAGCAGCCGCGGUAAUACGUAGGGUCCAAGCGUUAAUCGGAAUUACUGGGCGUAAAGCGUGCGCAGGCGGUUGUGCAAGACCGAUGUGAAAUCCCCGG